GAUCCUGGCUCAAGAUGAACGCUAGCUACAGGCUUAACACAUGCAAGUCGAGGGGCAGCAUAACGAAAGCUUGCUUUGUUGAUGGCGACCGGCGCACGGGUGAGUAACGCGUAUCCAACCUUCCCUAUAGUAGAGAAUAGCCCGGCGAAAGUCGGAUUAAUGCUCUAUGUUCUUCUUUGAUGGCAUCUGAGGAGGAGCAAAGGUUCACCGCUAUAGGAUGGGGAUGCGUCUGAUUAGGUAGUCGGCGGGGUAACGGCCCACCGAGCCAACGAUCAGUAGGGGUUCUGAGAGGAAGGUCCCCCACAUUGGUACUGAGACACGGACCAAACUCCUACGGGAGGCAGCAGUGAGGAAUAUUGGUCAAUGGGCGAGAGCCUGAACCAGCCAAGUAAGCGUGCAGGACGACUGCCCUAUGGGUUGUAAACUGCUUUUAUAGGGGAAUAAAGUGAGGUACGUGUACCUUUUUGUAUGUACCCUAUGAAUAAGGACCGGCUAAUUCCGUGCCAGCCGCGGC
This 514-nucleotide ribosomal RNA is filed under the name uncultured bacterium. RNAcentral's name for it is "bacterial SSU rRNA". It matches the Rfam family "Bacterial small subunit ribosomal RNA", at positions 15 to 518 of the family's 1533-position model. The record is from RNAcentral.